AGAGUUUGAUCCUGGCUCAGGACGAACGCUGGCGGCGUGCUUAACACAUGCAAGUCUAAGGAGAAAGUUCCUUCGGGAGCGAGUACACUGGCGAACGGGUGAGUAACGCGUAGGUAACCUACCCUUAAGCUCGGGAUAACCCACCGAAAGGUGGCUAAUACCGGAUAAUAUCUCUCCUCAUAAGGAGUAGAGAUCAAAGAUGGCUUCGGCUAUCACUUAUGGAUGGGCCUGCGUCUGAUUAGUUUGUUGGUGAGGUAAUGGCUCACCAAGGCAAUGAUCAGUAGCUGGUCUGAGAGGGCGAUCAGCCACAUUGGGACUGAGAUACGGCCCAGACUCCUACGGGAGGCAGCAGUGGGGAAUUUUGCGCAAUGAGCGAAAGCUUGACGCAGCAACGCCGCGUGAUCGAAGAAGCUCUGCGGAGUGUAAAGAUCUGUCAUAGGGGAAGAUAAGUUCCGUUAUUAACACCAUCGGGAUGUGACGGUACCCUAUAAGAAAGCCCCGGCUAACUUCGUGCCAGCAGCCGCGGUAAUACGAGGGGGGCAAGCGUUGUCCGGAUUUAUUGGGCGUAAAGAGUUCGUAGGCUGGUUGGUCAGUCGAAAUUGAAAUCCCACGGCUUAACCGUGGUUCCGGUUUCGAUACUGCCAAUCUUGAGUGAGGUAGAGGUAAGCGGAAUUCCUGGUGUAGCGGUGAAAUGCGUAGAUAUCAGGAGGAACACCAAAGGCGAAGGCAGCUUACUGGACCUAUACUGACGCUGAGGAACGAAAGCGUGGGGAGCAAACAGGAUUAGAGACCCUGGUAGUCCACGCCGUAAACGAUGAGUACUUGGUGGUGGGGGAUUCGACCCCUUCACUGUCGGAGCUAACGCGUUAAGUACUCCGCCUGGGAACUACGACCGCAAGGUUGAAACUCAAAGGAAUUGACGGGGACCCGCACAAGCGGUGGAUUAUGUGGUUUAAUUCGAUGCAACGCGAAGAACCUUACCUGGACUUGACAUGUUAGUGAAACUUCGGUGAAAGCCGGAGCCUCUGCGAGCUUGCUCAAGGACACUAUCACAGGUGAUGCAUGGCUGUCGUCAGCUCGUGUCGUGAGAUGUUCGGUUAAGUCCGAUAACGAGCGCAACCCCUAUCCUUAGUUGCCAGCACGUAAUGGUGGGGACUCUAGGGA
Molecule: ribosomal RNA, 1164 nt
Filed under: metagenome
Description: bacterial SSU rRNA
Rfam family: Bacterial small subunit ribosomal RNA
Source: RNAcentral